UUGGGAACCACAAGGCAACUUUGUCUCUCGGUUUUCCAUAUGCAAAGGAAACUUUGGCUGCAUGCUGUGGGAGGAGUAAUCUUGGUGUUGCCCAAAGCUUGCAUUGCCAUUUGGUUGCUCCUGCAUUUUGGAACAAGGGAGACAGCAACCCAGGUAGAUUCCUUU
Long non-coding RNA from Hibiscus syriacus, 165 nucleotides. RefSeq lists it as uncharacterized. The record is from RefSeq and is a predicted model, not a curated record. NCBI's taxonomy places the organism in Eukaryota, Viridiplantae, Streptophyta, Magnoliopsida, Malvales, Malvaceae. The transcript has 3 exons.